Regulatory RNA element from Brevibacillus laterosporus LMG 15441, 102 nucleotides. It matches the Rfam family "pan motif". Lineage: Bacteria; Bacillati; Bacillota; Bacilli; Caryophanales; Paenibacillaceae. The record is from Rfam.
AAGGCUAUAUCCUAUUGGAAUAGCACUUCCAUUUAAGAAGUAUGCUAGGAAAACAACUGAAACAAAAAUCUGCUCUAAGCCUAAAUGGACCGAGACAGAAGG